GAGUGGCAGACGGGUGAGUAACACGUGGGAACGUACCCUUUGGUUCGGGACAACUCUGGGAAACUGGAGCUAAUACCGGAUACGCCCUUUUGGGGAAGGGUUUACUGCCGAAGGAUCGGCCCGCGUCUGAUUAGCUAGUUGGUGGGGUAACGGCCUACCAAGGCGACGAUCAGUAGCUGGUCUGAGAGGAUGAUCAGCCACACUGGGACUGAGACACGGCCCAGACUCCUACGGGAGGCAGCAGUGGGGAAUAUUGGACAAUGGGCGCAAGCCUGAUCCAGCCAUGCCGCGUGAGUGAUGAUGGCCUUAGGGUUGUAAAGCUCUUUUAUCCGGGACGAUAAUGACGGUACCGGAGGAAUAAGCCCCGGCUAACUUCGUGCCAGCAGCCGCGGUAAUACGAAGGGGGCUAGCGUUGCUCGGAAUCACUGGGCGUAAAGGGCGCGUAGGCGGCGUUUUAAGUCGGGGGUGAAAGCCUGUGGCUCAACCACAGAAUGGCCUUCGAUACUGGGACGCUUGAGUCUGGUAGAGGUUGGUGGAACUGCGAGUGUA
This 549-nucleotide ribosomal RNA is filed under the name uncultured bacterium. RNAcentral describes it as "bacterial SSU rRNA". It matches the Rfam family "Bacterial small subunit ribosomal RNA", at positions 93 to 677 of the family's 1533-position model. The record is from RNAcentral.